RNAcentral lists this ribosomal RNA (253 nucleotides) under uncultured bacterium. RNAcentral's name for it is "partial 16S ribosomal RNA". It matches the Rfam family "Bacterial small subunit ribosomal RNA", at positions 524 to 776 of the family's 1533-position model. The record is from RNAcentral.
UACGAAGGGGGCUAGCGUUGCUCGGAAUCACUGGGCGUAAAGCGCACGUAGGCGGCUUUCUAAGUCAGGGGUGAAAUCCUGGAGCUCAACUCCAGAACUGCCUUUGAUACUGGAGAGCUUGAGUCCGGAAGAGGUGAGUGGAACUCCGAGUGUAGAGGUGAAAUUCGUAGAUAUUCGGAAGAACACCAGUGGCGAAGGCGGCUCACUGGGCCGGUACUGGCGCUGAUGUGCGAAAGCGUGGGGAGCAAACAGG